ACUGCUCAGUAACACGUAGUCAACCUAACUCGUGGACGUGGAUAACCUCGGGAAACUGAGAAUAAACCACGAUAGAUCAUAGUGCCUGGAAUGGCUUAUGGUCCAAACAGUUUACUGCCAUGGGAUGGGACUGCGGCCUAUCAGCUUGUUGGUGAGGUAAUGGCCCACCAAGGCGAUUACAGGUACGGGCUCUGAGAGGAGAAGCCCGGAGAUGGGUACUGAGACACGGACCCAGGCCCUAUGGGGCGCAGCAGGCGAGAAACCUUAGCAAUGUGCGAAAGCACGACUGGGUCAGUCCGAGUGAUUCCUGAUAAAGGAGUCUUUUGCUUGUCCUAAAAGCACAGGUGAAUAAGGGGUGGGCAAGUCUGGUGUCAGCCGCCGCGGUAAUACCAGCACCUCGAGUGGUCAGGACGUUUAUUGGGCCUAAAGCAUCCGUAGCCGGCUUUGCAAGUCUUCGGUUAAAUCCACCUGCUCAACAGAUGGGCCGCUGGAGAUACUACAAAGCUAGGGAGUGGGAGAGGCAAACAGUAUUCAGUGGGUAGGGGUAAAAUCCUCUGAUCCAUUGAGGACCACCAGUGGCGAAGGCGGUCUGCCAGAACACGUUCGACGGUGAGGGAUGAAAGCUGGGGGAGCAAACCGGAUUAGAUACCCGGGUAGUCCCAGCUGUAAACGAUGCAAACUCGGUGAUGCAUUGGCUUAUGGCCAAUGCAGUGCCGCAGGGAAGCCGUUAAGUUUGCCGCCUGGGAAGUACGGACGCAAGUCUGAAACUUAAAGGAAUUGGCGGGGGAGCAC
RNAcentral lists this ribosomal RNA (792 nucleotides) under uncultured archaeon. RNAcentral describes it as "bacterial SSU rRNA". It matches the Rfam family "Archaeal small subunit ribosomal RNA", at positions 85 to 879 of the family's 1478-position model. The record is from RNAcentral.